ACGCACGCUGGCGGCGUGCUUAACACAUGCAAGUCGCACGCUGAAGCUCAGCUUUUGUUGGGUGGAUGAGUGGCGAACGGGUGAGUAACACGUGAGUAACCUGCCUCCUUCUUUGGGAUAACGCCCGGAAACGGGUGCUAAUACUGGAUAUUCACUGGUCUUCGCAUGGGGGUUGGUGGAAAGGGUUUUUCUGGUGGGGGAUGGGCUCGCGGCCUAUCAGCUUGUUGGUGGGGUGAUGGCCUACCAAGGCUUUGACGGGUAGCCGGCCUGAGAGGGUGACCGGUCACAUUGGGACUGAGAUACGGCCCAGACUCCUACGGGAGGCAGCAGUGGGGAAUAUUGCACAAUGGGCGCAAGCCUGAUGCAGCGACGCCGCGUGAGGGAUGGAGGCCUUCGGGUUGUGAACCUCUUUCGCUCAUGGUCAAGCCGCAACAAUGGUUGUGGUGAGGGUAGUGGGUAAAGAAGCGCCGGCUAACUACGUG
This 482-nucleotide ribosomal RNA is filed under the name uncultured bacterium. RNAcentral's name for it is "partial 16S ribosomal RNA". It matches the Rfam family "Bacterial small subunit ribosomal RNA", at positions 29 to 507 of the family's 1533-position model. The record is from RNAcentral.